RNAcentral lists this ribosomal RNA (320 nucleotides) under uncultured Bacteroidota bacterium. RNAcentral's name for it is "bacterial SSU rRNA". It matches the Rfam family "Bacterial small subunit ribosomal RNA", at positions 12 to 324 of the family's 1533-position model. The record is from RNAcentral. Lineage: Bacteria; Pseudomonadati; Bacteroidota.
UUUGAUUCUGCUCAGGAUGAACGCUAGCUACAGGCUUUACACAUGCAAGUCGAGGGGCAGCGGGAUUGAAGCUUGCUUCAAUUGCCGGCGACCGGCGCACGGGUGAGUAACGCGUAUCCAACCUUCCGUACACUCAGGGAUAGCCUUUCGAAAGAAAGAUUAAUACCUGAUGGUAUCUUAAGCACACAUGUAAUUAAGAUUAAAGAUUUAUCGGUGUACGAUGGGGAUGCGUUCCAUUAGGUAGUAGGCGGGGUAACGGCCCACCUAGCCAACGAUGGAUAGGGGUUCUGAGAGGAAGGUCCCCCACAUUGGAACUGAGA